Molecule: non-coding RNA, 30493 nt
Organism: Callithrix jacchus (white-tufted-ear marmoset)
Lineage: Eukaryota; Metazoa; Chordata; Mammalia; Primates; Cebidae
Source: RefSeq, a predicted model, not a curated record
CUGAAAUGCUUUCAAUACUUCCUACCUAACCGCAGGCUUUCCCUGCGAGUAAAGCGUAAAAUGGGACCAUGUGGCCCACUCCUCUUCCUUCUCUUGAGCUCUCCACGUGCCACUAAUGCUUGGAAGAGACAGGUUUCUUUCUAGGAUAGAGAUCUCUGCCCCAUUUCUGUCUUUAAAAUGUGAAUUCUUAAAGAAGUAGGAUAGCUUGCAGGUCAGGCAAUUGGAAAAAUACAGGGCCUGCCUUUGGAGGGAUUGCCAGUUUUCAGCCUCUGAGGAAAGUGUAUGGAGGUAUGAAUGAACACAGGGCUGAAAGAGACCGCUUUUAUUGGAAUCGGCUUUGGAGUGCAUCAGUGAACCUGAUAAAGAUUGCUUCCUGCCUCUGUACUGCCCAUGAUGAGGUGCUUGCUGGUCUGCGUGCUCCUCUGCAGCCACCCAGUGAAGUGUCUGUUGUCGGUCUCCAUUUCACUGAUGGAGAAAGCUGUGUUCCAAGGUGGUCAACUCACUCUCUUGACAUGUUAACAAGGAAGAGGUGGCAGAACCUGGGAGAAGCACAGGCAUUCGGGUCCCAGAGGAAACACCAGUGUAGUGGUUCUUGAAGUGGGCUCCUCCCAGACCAGCAGCAGCAGCAGUAUCCCUUAGGAGCUUGUUAGAUAUGCAGACUUCUUUAUUGACUCAGAAACUGGGAGUUGGGCUCAGCGCUCUGGGCUUUAAGAAGCAUUCAAAUGGAUGCUGGACACGGUGACUCCUGCCUGUGAUCCCAGCACUUUGGGAGGCCGAGGCGGGUGGAUAGCUUGAGUCCAGGAGUUCAAGAGCAGCCUGGGCAACAUGGUGAAACCCUGUCUCUUUAAAAAGAAAAGAAGAAAUGUGGUUUCAAGCUUGGCCCCCGCCCAUUGCACACACAUACAAGGUCAAUACACACACACAAGGUCAAGAGCUCUGCUAGAGAAAGGCCUGGACUGGGGUUUGCAGCCACCAGCCUUGCAACUGCCUUCUAGAGUAGAAACUAACUUGGUGAAGGGGGAAGGCAAAUGCUUAGAUAGAUGUGACGGCUGGAGAAGCCCAGGGCUGACAGGGAGGAGCAUGGCGAAGCAUAGACAAGGAAGCGGGGCCUAUUCCCACUGAAGUGACAAACAUUGUGGACGCUCUGCGGCCACAGGCUUCUCAACAGCAGCUAGCAGGCACGUUUUCAGGCAGUGGAAUUCCACACAUCCCAGAACAGAAAAUCAGUUUGGGCUGUUCUUUGGAUUUGAUUAGUGCCGAGUAGGGGUGAGGGAGACAAGAGUAAAGCAGUUUCCCCACAAGGUUGUUGAGACUGUUGGGUGCUGGAUCUGAAACCCUGUGACUGUAAACAACGAGAGGAUUUUUUUUUUAACUUUAGAAAAGAGGAUGAAGUAAUUCUCAAUGUUUAAAUUGUAUUUGUAUCUUUUGAAAUGUUGGUAGAGGAGAACCUGAACUUGAAUUUUACUUGUACCUGGCAUUUGAAGAAGAGUCUGUAUGAGUGUGUCAUUUCGAGUUGAUAGAGAAGGAACUUCUCAUGGGUUUACGGUUGCUGGAUAGAUUGAUAGUUGUUCCUUUCCUAGUUCAUUCAUCACUCUACUCCUUACUGCCCAUUUAUAAAAUUCCUUCUAUUUUGGAGAGUUUAAAGCAUAUGAAGUCGACAUAAUAGUAUAAAGCAAUGAUCUCCCAAACUUUUUUUUAAUCUCAAGAUUUGUGAAUAAUCUUAGCAAUUACGGAGGACGCCAAAGAGAUUUCCUUAACAUAUGCAGUAUACCUCUCAGUAUUUACCAUAUUCAGUAGUAAAACAGAGUCUGUCCAGCACAGUGGCAUCACACAUCACAAAGCAGCUAGAAAACUAGAUCCACUGUGUUACUGUGAGAGAAUGAGUGAAAAGGCAAAUAAUGUCUUAGUAUUUUAUGGUCUUCUCAACGGUCUGGGAUCUUGCACUGUACUUCAAGAGCUUUUGAUAACAUGUAUGUAGCAGUUAGACAAGGUCAUUAUCACAUGUUAAUAAAUUUAGACCUGGCGUGGUGGCUCAUGCCUGUAAUCCUGGCACUUUGGGAGGCUGAAGUGGGUGGAUCACGUGAGGUUGGGAGUUUGAGACCAGCCUGACCAACAUGGAGAAACUCCGUCUCUACUAAAAAUACAAAAUUAACCAGGUGUGGUGGUACCUGCCUGUAAUUCCAGCUACUUGGGAAGCUGAGGCAAGAGAAUUGCUUGAACCCAGGAGGCAGAGGUUGUGGUGAGCCAAGAUCACGCCAUUGUACUCCAGCCUGGGCAAGAAGAGUGAUACUCUGUCUCAAAAAUAAAUAAAUACAUAUAUACAUACACAAGUUUAACAGUAACUUCAUGUCAUCCAGUGUCUAUAGGAGAGUCACUUUUCCAGUGGCCUCAUAUGUUAUAAUUUGUUGGGGUUUUUUUUGGUUUGGUUGGUUUUUUUUUAAAAUGGAGUCUCUUUUAGCAGGCUGGAGUACAGUGGCACAAUCUUGACUCACUGCAACUUCCGCUUCCUGGGUUCAAUUGAUUCUCCUGCCUCAGCCUCCCAAGUAGCUGGGACUACAGGUGCAUGACACCACGCCCAGCUGAUUUUUGUAUUUUCAGUAAAGACAGAGUUUCACCAUGUUGACCAUGAUGGUCUCUAUCUCUUGACCUCGUGAUCUGCCUGCCUCAGCCUCCCAAAGUGCUGGGAUUACAGGUGUGAUCCACCAUACCUGGCCUGUAAUUUUUUUUUUAAUAGAUUUUUACUCAAAAUCUAUGUUUCAUUCAGUUGAUAUGCCUCCUAAGAAUCUGUUAAAGAAUCUGAUAGUCUGUAGGAACCUUACAAUUUAUUAAAGAGUCUUGUUUUGGUUGUUGUCUGCUAUUCAUCCUGGGGAGUGUCUUUCAGAGGUUGGGCUUUGCAAUUACACCUGUAACAGUUUAUGCUUCUCUGUCCGCUCAGGCUUUUCAUUCCAUCCUGGGGUUCCUUUAUACCAAGUGGUCUUUCUUUCAAACAGCAACUUCUGGAUGUCACUGUUUGGAAAGUGAGCCUUGUUGGCGUGUUGGGGAUAGUUGUCUUUUCCUAUAAGUAUCUCAAAGCAACCCACUGAAGGUGGGUAGAGUGCAUUUUUGAAAGAUGUGUCAUGGCCUUGGGGUGGAAUGAAAGACCAAGUAGUGGUUGGCAAAAAGAGCAAGAGAUAAGCCCACUUUAAAACCAUUCCCUCUCUAGAACCUGACAGUAGCAGAGCCAACUAGAUUUUAAAAUGCACAGAGAAAAGCACUUUUUUAAAAAGAUAAUUUGUUUUUUUUUUUUUUUUGAGACGGAGUUUCACUCUUGUUACCCAGGCUGGAGUGCAAUGGCGCGAUCUCGGCUCACCGCAACCUCUGCCUCCUGGGUUUAGGCAAUUCUCCUGUCUCAGUCUCCCGAGUAGCUGGGAUUACAGGCACGCGCCACCACGCCCAGCUAAUUUUUUUGUAUUUUUAGUAGAGACGGGGUUUCACCUCGUUGACCGGGAUGGUCUUGAUCUCUUGACCUUGUGAUCCACCCGCCUCGGCCUCUUAAAGUGCUGGGAUUACAGGUUUGAGCCACCGCGCCUGGCCGAUAAUUUAAGAAUUAUUACACUGGAGGUACAUCCUAUGAAAUAAUUCAAACUGUAGGAAAAAAGCAGCACCCUCCUUACAGAUGCAGAUUUAAAAUACAUAAUGAAACCAGACUACAUAAGCACCAUGCUGUUUUACUUGAUCGUGUACCUUAGAUGGCUUUCUGUGACACUGCACAGAUUAUUUAUUUUUACUGAUUGCACAGUACUCCAUCAUAUGCUGUAUCAUAAUUUAUGGACGUGAUCCUCUGAGGAUGAAUAUUUGGAUUGUUCUGACUUUUCAUGAGGUAUUUUACUGAUUGUUCAUAAUCUUUGUCCAUUUUUCUCUUGAAUUGUUUCCCAUUUUUUCUUGUUAAUUUAUAUUCUUAAGUCUCUUAAUACAUCUUUUUCCCGUUGUUAUUCUCCAUAGCCUGUUUUUUCAGGAAUAUGGUCACAUAGGUUUACAAUAUGUUUUUACCAAAUGUACGUUUUCUCUUUUGUUUUGUUUUGUUUUGAGCUGGAGUUUCGCUCUUUUUGCCCAGGUUGGAGUGCAAUGGCGUGAUCUCGGCUCACCGCAACCUCCGCCUCCUGGGUUCAGGCAAUUCUCCUGCCUCAGCCUCUUGAGUAACUGGGAUUACAGGCAUGUGCCACCAUGCCCAGCUAUUUUUUUUUUUUUUUUUUUUUUUUUGUAUUUUUCGUAGAGAUGGGGUUUCUCUGUCUUGGUUGGGCUGGUCUCUAACUCCCGACCUCAGGUGAUCUGCCCGCCUCUGCCUCCUAAAGUGCUGGGAUUCCCGGCGUGAGCCAUCAUGCCUGGCAUAUGUUUUCAGUUUUCAUAGAAACACAUUUAUCUCUUUCUUUCCUCCAUGGCUUUUAGGGCUAUAUUACAUUUUAGAAGUGCUUUUUCUGUUAAAAAGUUAUAAAAUAUUUUCCUGUGUUUUUCUCCUUAUUUCUUAAUUCUUUUUUAUGAUAUAGGGUCUCACUUUGUUGCCCAGGGUUGAGUGCAGUGGCAUGAUCUUGACUUACUGCAACCUCCACCUCCUGGGCUUAGGUGAUCUGCCUGCCUCAGUCUCCCCAGUAGCUGGGACUACAGGCACUCACCACCACAGCUGACUAAUUUUUGUAUUUUUUUGUGGAGGAGGGGUUUUGCCAUGUUGCCCAGGCUGUUCUUGAACUCCUAAGCUCGAGCAAUCCGACCACCUUGGCCUCCCCAAGUGCUAGGAUUACAGGCAUGGGGCACUGUGCCUGGCCUCCACAAAUCUUUAACUCAGUUUAUUUUGGCAUAAAGAGUGAGAUACAGAGAUCCAGCAGUAUAUGUAUUUUUCAUGUUAUAAUCAUCUUAGUACCAUUUAUUUAGAUAAUUGGUAAUCCAUCUUUUCUUCCACUGAUACGUUAUGCUAUUUUUGGUAUAUACUUGAUUCACUUUUCAAAUAUAUAGGAUUUGGGUCUAAUUCUGAACUCCUUUUAGUUGCAUUGACCUUUGUUUGUUCCUGUACCAGAAACGUAUUAACCCAGCUGUGUGAUGAAUUUUAGUAUAUGACCGCUCUAUUUAUUCCUCACACAAGUGGUUCUCAGCUCUGGCCACGCUUUAUCAGAUUUAUCUGUAGAGUUCUUAAAAAUAUGAUGUCUGAAGCACAUGUAGACAAGUUAAGUUAGAAUCUGUAGGAUAUGAUAGGGACAUUCAUACAGUGUGCAGUUCCUCAGAUGAUUUUCAUGGCAGCCAGGGUUGAGAACCACUGUGUUAGAUAAAUUUAGGACUUUUUUUCAAAUUUUAAAAACAAAAAGUCGGGAUUUUGGAUUUAUAAGAUUCAGUACAGCUUUAUAAACCAUUUUAGGAGGGAUGUGACAUUUUAACAGUUUUGUGGCUUUCUCAGUCUUUUUAUCCUAUGCAUAUAAAUGAUCUUUUCUGAGGGUCUUAUGUUCCUUAGAAGCAUAGUAUGGUUUUCUUUAUCUGUGUAAUCAAUCUUUCUUAUGUCGUUUAUUUCUGGAGGUAUUAGGGGAUUUUUGUUGCUGUUGGGGAUGAGUUCUAUUUCAUUAUCUAACUGGCUGGGGUUUUUUUUUUGGUAUAUUUUUAAAUUAAUUUAUUUACUUUAGGUGCAUACUAUAUCUGGCAUUUCUCCCCAUGUUAUCCCUCCUCACCCUCCCCUCCCUCCGCACCCCCUGCUGUCUCUCCCUACCCUCCUCAACUGCCCCCAGUGUGUGAUGCCCCUCUCCCAGAGUCCACAUGUUCUCGUUGUUCAACACCCACCUAAGAGUGAGAACAUACGGUGUUUGGCUUUCUGUUCUUGUGUUAGUUUGCUGAGAAUGAUGGUUUCCAGAUUCAUCCAAGUCCCUACAAAGGACACAAACUCGUUUUUUUAUGGCUGCGUAGUAUUCCACGCUGUAUAUGUACCACAUUUUCUUUGUCCAGUCUAUCAUUGAUGGACAUUUGGGUUGAUUCUAUGGAAGUCUAGUAUUUAUUUUUUUUUUCAGAGUUUCCAGUCAACACUCAGAAACAGGUUGUUCAGUUUCCAAGUUGUUGUGCGGGUUUGAGUGUGUUUCUUGAUCCUGAGUCCUAGUUUGAGUGCGCUGUGGUCUGAUAGACUGUUUGUUAUGAUUUCUGUUCUUUUGCAUUUGCUGAGGAGUGAUUUGCUUCCAAUGAUGUGGUCAGUUUUAGAGUAUGUGCAAUGUGGUGCUAAGAAAAAUGUAUAUUCUGUGGAUUUGGGGUGGAGCAUUCUGUAUAUGUCUAUUAGAUCCACUUGGUCCAGCUCUGCAUUCAAGUCCUGGAUAUCCUUGUUAAUUUUCUGUCUCAUUGAUCUAAUAUUGACAGUGGAGUGUUGAAGUCUCCCACUAUUAUUGUGUGGGAGUCUAAAUCUCAUUUUAGGUCAUUAAGAACUUGCUUUAUGUAUCUGGGUGCUCCUGUGUUGGGGGCGUAUGUAUUUAGGAUACUUAGCUCUUCCUGUUGGAUUGAUGCUUUUACCAUUAUGUAGUGUCCUUCUUUGUCUCUUUUGAUCUUUGUUGGUUUGAAAUCUAUUUAUCAGAGACUAGGAUUGCAACCCCUGCUUUUUUUUUGUUCUCCAUUUGCUUGGUAAAUCUUCUUCCAUCCCUUUAUUUUGAGUCUAUGUGUGUCUUUGUAUGUGAGAUGGGUUUCCUGAAUAAAGCACACUGAAGGGUUCUGACUUUUUAUCCAGUUUGCCAGUCUGUCUUUUGAUUGGGGUGUUUAGGCCAUUUACAUUCAAUGUUAAUAUUGUUAUGUGUGGAUUUGAUACUGCCAUUUUGUCACUGACUGGUUUUCUUUCCCAUUAGUUGCCUCAUUUUCUUCAUUGCAAUUUUGGUUUUUGCCACUGGUUUGCUUUUGCAGUGACUGGUACUUGUUCCUUUCCAUGGUUAGUGUUUCUUUCGGGAGCUCUUGUAGGGCAGGUCUGGUGGUGACAAAAUCUCUCACAAAAUUGCUUCUCCAUAAAGGAUUUUAUUUCUCCUUCACUUACAAAGCUUAGUUUGGCCAGAUAUGAGAUUCUGGGUUGAAAGUUCUUUUCUUUAAGGAUGUUGAAUAUCGGCCCCCACUCUCUUCUAGCUUGUAGGGUUUCUGCAGAGAGAUCUGCUGUGAGUCUGAUUGGCUUCCCUCUGUGGGUGACCUGGCCUUUCUCUCUGGCUGCCCUAAGCAUUUUUUCCUUCAUUUCAACCCUGGUGAAUCUGACAAUUAUGUGCCUUGGGGUUGCUCUUCUUGAGGAAUAUCUUUGGGGAGUUCUCUGUAUUUCUUGAAUUUGAAAUUUGGACUGCCGGCCAGGCGCGGUGGCUCAAGCCUGUAAUCCCAGCAUUUUGGGAGGCCGAGGCGGGUGGAUCACGAACACGAGGUCAACAGAUCAAGACCAUCCUGGUCAACAUGGUGAAACCCCGUCUCUACUAAAAAUACAAAAAAUUAGCUGGGCAUGGUGGCGCGUGCCUGUAAUCCCAGCUACUCAGGAGGCUGAGGCAGGAGAAUUGCCUGAACCCAGGAGGCGGAGGUUGCGGUGAGCCGAGAUCACACCAUUGCACUCCAGCCUGGGUAACAAGAGCGAAACUCCGUCUCAAAAAAGAAGAGAAAUUUGGACUGCCUUGCUAGGCUUGGGAAGUUCUCCUGGAUAAUAUCCUGGAACAUGUUUUCCAGCUUGGAUUCAUUCUCCCAUCAUAUUCAGGUACACCGAUCAAGCGUAGAUUAGGUCUUUUCACAUAAUCCCUUAUUUCUUGGAAGCUUUGUUUAUUUCUUUUCACUCUUUUCUCUUGUCUUCCCUUCUCUUUUUAUUCCAUUGAGUUGAUCUUCAAUCUCUGAUAUCCUUUCUUCUCCUUGAUUGAUCUGGCUAUUAAAACUUGUGUUUGCUUCACAUAGUUCUCGUGCUGUGUUUUUCAGCUCCAUCAAGUUGUUUAUGUUCUUCUCUAUCCUGGUUAUUCCAAUUAGCAUUUUGUCUAACUUUUUUUCAAGGUUUUUGGUUUCUUUGCAUUGAGUUAGAACAUGUUCCUUUAGCUCAGAAAUGUUUAUUAGCCACCUUCUGAAGCCUGUUUCUGUCAGUUUGUUGCACUCCUCAGUCAAGUUGUGAUCCUAUGUUGUUGAGAAGUUGUGAUGCCUUGAAGGAGAAGUGUCGUUCUGGUCUUUGAUGGUUUCAUCUUUUUGUGCUGGUUUUUUCCCAUCUUUGUGGAUUUAUCUGGCUGUGGUGUCGGGAGCUGCUUGAUGAGGUUGCUUGUCUGCCCAGGAAGGCCGGGUUUCUGUAGUUCUCUAACAUCACAUUUCUAUAUAAAUUCUGCUGUGCAGUGUCUAGGCACUGCCACUCCUCCAGAGAGAAUUCUGUGGCCAUAUCCCUAAAUGUCAACGGUUCCAUUUCUAGGCUUCCAAGGGAUCCUGGCGUCUUAGCUGUGGAUCUCCAAUAUCUGCAGGUCACAGAGCCACACAAGCUAGGCAUCUAGGAGAACCGGACACAGAGAAGUGAAGACGAGCCUAACUGGCUGUUUUAAUAUAGGAAAGAUGUUAUGUGUAUGCUACUCUGGUACUCUGGCUGCUUUAUGGGAUUAUCUUAAAUAUUCUAAUACAUUUUCAGGAGAUUGUGUUGGGUUUUCCAAGGAGAUAGUAAUCUUUUCCAUUAUUGAUACUUUUAUUUUCUUCUUGCUAAUAUUUGUACCAGUUUUUAUGCUCUUAGGCAUCCCUCCUGUGUUGUAUCCUACUUAACUGGAUAUGUAUCUGGUGUUUUAUUAUUAAGAAUAAUAUGAGCUUUGGUUUGCAGUCAUUUGUAUAUUUCUUUCUAAAUUAGGGCAUAAUCUAUUCUUCAUAAAAUAAAUGAUAAAAUCUAAAUGUUAGGUUUUAUAAAAUUUCUCUUUGAUACCUACCUAUGGUGAUUACCUUGUGAUUUUUCACUUUUCGUUUAUUUAUGUGAUAGAUUAACUGAAUAGGUUUUAUAAUAUCAAAUUGGGCCAUCUCUGUAAUUGUAAAAAGUUAAUGUAUUGCUGAGUUUUAAUUGCUAGUGUUUUAUUUAGAAUUUUGUUUCUCAUUACUCAGUGAUUAAAUUGAUCCAUAGUUCUUUUAGUGCUUUGUCAAUUUUUAUAUCAGUAUUAUGUUAACUUGGUCAAAAAGAGUUUGAAAGUCUUUUGUAUUUAUUCUCUGAAACAGUUUAGAUUGAUUUGGAAUGAUCUAUUCCAUUAAGAAUUGAGAGACUUCCGAGGUGGGUGGAUCACCUGAGGUCGGGAGUUCAAGACCAGCCUGACCAACAUGGUGAAACCCCGUCUUUAAAAAAAAAAAAGAAGAAGAAUUGAGAGACUUCACCCUUAAAGUGAUGUGGACCUGAAGCUUUUUUUCCCUUGGAAGUGACUGAACAUCUUUGAUAAUAGUGCCAGGUGUGGUGGCUCACACUUAUAUUUCCAACACUUUGGGAGGCUGAGGUGGGAGGAUUGCUUGAGCCCAGGAGUUUAAGACCAGCCUGGGAACAUAGGGAGACCCUGUGUCUAAUAAAAUUUAAAAAUUAGCUGGUCAUGGUGGCAAACGUCUGUAGUCUCAGCUACUCAGGAGGCUGAAGCAGGUGGAUUGCUUGAGCCCAGGAGUGCGAAGUUGCAGUGGGCCAUGAUCUCACCACUACACUCAAGCAUAGCCGACAGAGUGAGACUCUGACUCAAAAAAAAUAAAAGAACAAAUCCUUGACAACUUUAUUGCUGUUUUUUAUAAAUAUUGGCUCUUUUAGGCUGUUAGUAAUCUCUUAGGUCAAUAUAAUUUUUAUUUAAUAAAGUCUAAAUUUGCUUUGAUUUUGAGAAAAACUAACAGAUAUUCUUAAUCUUUGUUUAAAAAAAAAUUCGAAGGUAGGUAAGUCCCAUGUUGCAGAUUAAGAAAGGCUGCCAGUAAGUGGCAGAACCAGGCCUGCGUUCACAGUCUGGCCAGGGGCCUGUUAGCACUAGUGCAAUAUAGUCUGUUUUUAGUUUCUAUUUUAGUGGAAAUUUCUUUUCAUGUGGCCUUUAAAAUUUGUUAACUGAGAGCUGCGCACAAAUAUGUGCAGUUCUUAGUCACUUUUGAUAUUUGCGAUUAUUUCUCCUUUUCUCAUUCCUAAUUGUGUGUGACUCUUAAAGAAAAUAUUUACAGUAGGAAAAACAUGACCCUUGUUGACAACAUGGCAGUAUUAUUUAUUAACAAAACAUAGUAUCACUAUUUUUUUCUUUUGUUUUCUUUACUCUUGUGAUAGAUGAAUGCAUAGUAAUUCUUUUUAAAAAAAACAAAACAGUUUUUCAAAUUUGACAGUAGCAAAACUUAACAGGUUAUCUUAUGCAAGGAGCAUGUUCUCAUUGUCUACUAAAAAUAACUCAUACACUUGUCCUGUAGAAAGAGAGCAAAAAAGACAUUUGGGUGGGAUUUAGAAGCCGCACUACAGACACUCCCUUGACUGUAGGUGUUAGAGAUGUUGCUGCGCACAGAGAUGACAGAAGGAAGCCGGAAGCUGCUACAGUAUUACCAGGUCAAGGGGUCCAGAGGCAUUCUAAUUUUAAGGUUGGUAAGAAUUUGCUUUUGUGACCUGAGAAAUCUUACAAGUUACUUUCUUUUAACUAAUGAAUCUGAAAAGUGACUAAAAUAGUUUGUAUGGUAAACCAUCUUCAUAGGGGGUCAGAUUAGGGCUCACUUUUUGAAUAAAGUUUUUGGAAUAUUCAUCUUUUUCAGAAAGUCAUCAGAAAACACAGGGCUUAAUUUUUGACUGGUGAGCUUCCUGGAGUAAAGGUUUGGUUUGGUUUUGAGUUGGAGUCUCACUCUGUCCCCCAGGCUGGAGUGCAGUGGCAAGAUCUUGGCUCACUGCAGCCUCCACUUCACAGGUUCGAGCAAUUCUCCUGCCUCAGCCUCUCAAGUAGCUGGGGUUACAGGUGCACACCACCACGGCUCGGCCAAUUUUUGUAUUUUUAGUGCAAAUUAGAUCAGCUCAGGACUCAGUGAGCUAUCAUUUUUGUUAGAUACUAUAAAGCAGUGGUACCAAAACUGGAAUGUCCAGCAGAGUCGCUGCAGGCUUGUUAAGACAGAUUUCUGCCUCCAGCUUGCUUCCAUUCAGCAGAUUUGGGGUGGGACCUGAGAAUUUGCAUUUCUUUUUUGUAGAGACAGGAUUUCACUAUCUUGGCCAGGCUGAUCUUGAUCUCCUGACCUCGUGAUCCACCCGCCUCAGCCUCCCAACAUGCUAGGAUUACAGGCGUGAGCCACCGCGCCUGGCCUUGCAGUUCUAACCAGCUCAUAGGUGACCCUAACUGCGGUGGUCAGGGGCCACACUCUGAGAAGCUGUGCACUAAAGGAAUGGAUUAGCAGAAUAUAGUCAGUAAAGAAUUUAUUUUAUUUUUUAUUUUUUUGAGAUGGAGUUUUGCUCUGUCAUCAGGCUGGAGUGCAGUGGCGUGAUCUCAGCUGACUGCAACCUCCGCCUCCCAGGUUCAAGUGAUUCUCCUGCCUCAGCCUCCUGAGUAGCUGGGACUACAGGUGCACGCCACCAUGUCCAGCUAAUUUUUUUGUAUAUUUAGUGGAGAUGGGAUUUCACCAUGUUGACCAGGUUGAUCUCAAUCUCUUGACCUCGUGAUCCUCCCACCUCAGCCUCCCAAAGUGCUGGGAUUACGGGCUUGAGCCACCAUGCUUGGCCAGUCAGUAAAAAAUUAGUAGAAACAAGUUGGCUAAGAAAUCAUUUAUCCACUUUCUGUAUUUUGGGUAUAUUAUUGGGAAUUUCUAAUUUUAUUUAUUUUGAGACAAGGCCUCACUCAAGUCACCCAGGCUGGAGUGGCGUGCAGUAGCAUUACCAUGGCUUCCUGCAGCCUUGAACUCCUGGGCUCAAGCAAUGCUCCAGCCUCAGACUCCUAAGGAGCUCAUACUACAGGUGUGUACCAUCAUGCCUGGCUAAGUUUUUUUAUUUUUUUUUAAAUUGAUACUCAUAUAUACACCUUUAUUUGUACUGAAAAUUGUAAAAAGAACACAAAGUUUCCUCUUAAUGCAACCCAAAUUUUUCUUACUGUUGUGCUCUAGGCAAGCUACCCAGUGCUUUCUUUACCCACAAGUGACUUUACUUCACAUUCUUGAUACUGGCUUUCAUCUCGCUGACUUUGGGCUUCUAAAACACAUGAGGAUACUUAGGUCCUCUUGGCUUCUUUGAGUCAAAUUAAACAGUAGAGCUGAAGUAUACUGAAGUUAUUUGGAUGCCUUCAGACUACAGAGAUCCCUUAUACAUCAGUAGUAUCGCUGUAGAAAGGAAAAGAUAAAAGAAAAAAUACAUCCUAGAACUCAUUAUGAAAGUUUUUCCUAUAUAGUUUAUUGUAGCAUGGAGUAGCUUUCUCAACCUGCUGCAUGAAAUUACCAGCAAGAAAAAAAAAGUACAAGAAUAAGGCUUAUGGCUGACGUGGCUCAUUGUUGUAAUUCUCUUUUGUAGCAUUCUCAGAAGGUUCCCAUCUGUUACACACACACAAACUACAGCAACAUCUGAAUCGUCCACUUCUUGAUUCAUUCUGAACUCCCUUAAGCCCAGUCAGUGUUAGUUCUAUUUCAUGCCUAGCUCUGCCCAGUAACAGGUAUCUCAAUUUUGCCAUCCUUUUUGCGUAGACGGCAGUGUUCGUACUCUUCUCCUGUAAAUCAAGUCAUCUCUGAUUUCUUUGAAGAUCGUUGCUCCCCCAUACACUGUUGUUGGGGUGAACCUUCCAGCAUAGGGGCAGGGAAUUUGGUAGUAGGGUUGAUUGUCAAGUUACUAAGGUUCGUUAUCAACAUUUUGGAGCGGAAGUUUUGAGAGGCCCCUGACCUGGGAAUUUUCUUCAGUGAGUGUUUGUGAAGAUUCUUGGGACCAAGGUUGGAUUAAACUUUUGUGAUGGGUACAUUAGCAGUCAUGACACAACACUUACCUUCUCCUGGAUCUUUGAAACCCAGCAGAAAUUGAUGACGAACUCUCAGAUUGCCAGAAGAUAGACCAGAAAGAGCCUGAAACGCAAACUCCAACCAAUUUUUUUUCUUUUACUUUUAAUGCAGACAAGGUGUUGCUAUGUUUGCCUGGGCUGGCCUUGAACUGAGCUUAAGCUGACCUCCUGUCAUGGCCACCCAAAGUGCUGGGUUUACAGGUGUGAACCAUCAUGCCUGUCUGGAAUUUCUAAUAUUUAAUAGCAAGAGAAAUAAUACUGUACAGUUGUCUGUUGCUUUUCACUUUUUCAUGCGAAGUCAUGCAUUAAAAUAAUGCAAAGAAAUAAUGGAAUUUUAUAUUAAGCACAUCUUAAUUUGGCCUCUUUUAAAAGAUAACAAAAAUAGUUUAUAGAAUGAAAUUCUGCAGUCCAGUGAAUUAAUACAGCAUCAUGCAGAAUGUAUGUAACUUGCGUGGGCACAGAUGUUUAGUAGACAUGUUAAGCAGUCUAGGAUCUUAUGAUGAUAAUGGAAAAUGAGCAUAGAUGUUCUGUAGAAUGUAUGAUUCAGGAUGUACCUACCUUCCUAUGAUAAUUAAUCAUGAAUUUUCUUUCUUUCUUUUCUUUUUUUUUUUUGAGAUGGAGUUUUGCUCUUGUUGCCCAGGCUGGAGUGCAAUGGCAUGAUAACAGCUCACUUCGACCUCCGCCUCCAGGGUUCAAGCAGUUCUCCUGCCUCAGCCUCCCAAGUAGCUGGGAUUACAGGUGCCCGCCACCAAGCCCAGCUAAUUUUUUGUUUUUUGUUUGUUGUUGUUUGUUUGUUUUUGAGAUGGAGUUUUGCUCUCAUACCCACGCUGCAGUGGCAGUGGCGCAAUCUCAGCUCACUGCAACCUUCACCUCCUGGGUUCAAGUCAUUCUUCUGCCUCAGCCUCCUGAGACUACAUGCGUGUGCCACCACGCCACACUAAUUUUUUAUAUUUUUAGUAGAGACAGGAUUUCACCGUGUUAGCUAGGAUGGUUUUAAUCUCCUGACCUCAUGAUCUGCUCACCUCAACCUCCCAAAGUGCUGAGAUUACAGGUGUGAGCCACUGCACCCAGCCCAUUUUUUGUAUUUUUAGUAGAGAUGGGGUUUCACCAUGUUGGCCAGGCUGAUCUUGAACCCCUGACCUCAGGUGAUCAGCCAACCUCGGCCUCCCAAAGUGUUGGGAUUACAAGCAUGAGUCACUGUGCCUAGCCUCAUGAAUUUCUUUUUUAGACUUCUUAAUUAAAUGGGAUUGCAUGUGUGUAUUAAACGGAUUGACACACACAUGGUACUCAGUAUACGUAGCAGCAGCAGCAGUAACAGCAGCACCUCAGACUGCCUUCUGCAGAUGUAGGGGCUAAGUGCUUUCAAGCCUGGCAUGGGCUCUGGAAUAAGCUGCCUCAUUUCACAUCCAGGCUUCGCUAAUUAUUAGCUAUGGGAAACUUAUUUAAUCUCUCUGGGCUUUAGUUUUUUUGGCUUUUAAUUGAGGAUAAUAGUAGCUGCCAUUGAGAAUUGUUGUAUCAGUUAAAAAUGGAUAAAAAUCUCUAUCUUACAGAACCACGUCAAUUAAAUGAGGUGAUAUAUGUAACAUUAUUAGCAUAGUACAUAGGUUUACAGAAAACCUUUCAGAGAAUACUGAGUAGUGAACUGGCAAGGUGCUUUGCCACAUAAAAUAUUUGAGAUAGCCACAAAACAUUUGAAGUGAUAAUGAGACUGCUUUUCUGAUAUUUUCAGAAAACAUUUUUUGGUAGUAAAAAUAGCUGUUGAACUUGGUGGCACAUUCCUGUGAUCCCAGCUCCUUAGGAGGCUGAGGCAGGAGGAUUUCUUUAGGCCAGGAAUUUGACACCAGCCUGGGCAACAGAUCGAAAUCCUGUAUUAAGUUUUAAAAAGUUGAUGUUUAUUAUAGAAAAUUAGCACAGAAAUGCCCAGAAAAGAAAAUCUUGGCCUGUAAGCCUAUAACCUAGUCAUACUUAGUGCUAAAGAAACCAUACAUCUGAUGUUUUCUCUACUAGGCUUUUAUCUAUAAUCAUGUAUCUUUUUAUUUUUUUAGAUGGAGUCUUGCUCUGUUGCCAGGUGGAGUGCAGUGGCCUGAUCUCAGCUCACUGCUACCUCCCCCUCCCAGAUUUAAGCAGUUCUCCUGCCUCAGCCUCCCUAAAACCUGGAACUAUAGGCGCACGUCACCAGGCCCAGCUAAUAUUUGUAUUUUUAGUAGAGAUGGAGUUUCACCAUGUUGGCCAGGCUGGUCUCGAACUCCUGACCUCGUGAUCCACCCUCCUCAGCCUCCCAAAGUGCUGGGAUUACAGGCAUGAGCCACCGCACCCGGCUUUAUCUUUUCUAAAGUCAGAGUUGGAGUAGUAUUUCCAGUUAACUUUGUGGCUGAUUAUUUUCUAUAACACAAACAGAAUGAAUGUUUAGCAUAACAACAAUGAAGAUUUUUAUUUGACGGAUCUCCUAGGUGGCCACCUUGAAGAGUAACUUAGACACGUGCCACUUAACAAUGGGGGUGAUUAAAUUAAAAAAAAACAAUGGGGGUGAAAUGCAUCCUUAGGUGAUUUUGUUACUGUGGGAAGAUCAUAGAGUGUAGUUUAGAUAGCAUAGCCUAUCAUACACCUAGGCUAUAUAGUAUACCCUGUUGCUCCUAGAUUAUAAAUCUGUACAUCAUGUUACUGUAAUGAAUACUGUGGGCAGUUGUAACACAAUGCCACAGUGCUAAGUAUUUAUAAACCUAAACAUUUCUAUACAUAGAAAUGGUAUGGUAAAAAAUAGUGUAUAAAAGAUUUAAAAUGGCAUACCUGACUAGGCACUCUGUCCCAUGCCUGCAAUCCCAGCACUUUAGGAGGCUGAGGCAGGAGGAUCACUUGAGCCCAUAAGUUGGAGACUGACCUGGGCAGCACAGAUCCUGGUGUGUGUGUGUGGUGGUAGGGGGUGAGGGAGAGGCUGUCGUGUAUGUGUAAAAUAGACCUAUAUAAGGCAUUUACUAUGAAUGGUGUUUGCAGGACUGGAGGUUUCUGUAGGUGAGGGAAAGUGGUGAGUGAAAGAUGUCUGAGAAUGUUGCUGUAUACUGCUUUAGACUUUAUACACACUUUGUACACUGAGGCCACACUAAAUUUAUUUUUUUUCAAUUUUAUUAAUAAAUUAACCUUAGCUUACUUCGGUUGUUUUUGUUUUGAGAUGGAGUCUCGUUCUUUCACCAGGCUGGAGUGCUUUGGCACAAUUUUGGCUCACUGUGACCUCCAGUUUCCUGGUUCGAGCGAUUCUCCUGCCUUAGCCUCCUGUGUAGCUGUGAUUACAGGCACAUGCCACCAUGGCCAGCUAAUUUUUUUUGUAUUUGUAGUAGAGAUGGGGUUUCGCCAUGUUAGCUAGGCUGAUCUCAAACUCCUGACCUCGUGAUCUGCCUGUCUCGGCCUCCCAAAGUGCUGGGAUUACAGGCACGUGCUACCACACCCAGCUGUAAACUUAUGUUUUUUAAAAAAACUUCUUUAUUCUUUUGUAUUAACACUUAGCUUAAAGCACAAACAUGUUACAACAUGUACAGCUGUACAAAAGUAUUUGUGCUUAUUCAUAAACUUUUUUCUAUUUUUUUUUUCAAUUUUCAAUCUGUUUUGUUAAAAACUAAAACACAAACAUGUACACACACACCCUCUAGCCUAGGCCUGCAUAGGGUCAGGAUCAUGAAUAUCACUCUUUCACCUCCACAUCUUGUCACACUGAAAGGUCUUCAGAGGCAGUAACACGUAUGGAGGCUCUAAUCUCCUGUGAUGACAGUGCUGCCUUCUGGAAUACCUCCCGUAGGUCCUGCCUUGAGGCUGUUUUACAGUUAACUUAAAACGUAGGACUGUACUCUAAUAAAGUGUAGUAAAUACAUAAGCCAGUAACAUAGUCAUUUGUUAUCAUUAUUGAGUAAUUGAGCCCCGCUUUUAUAUAGUUGGUGGUACAUAGAUUUGUUGACAGCAGAAGUGUCACAGACACGUGAGUAAUGCCUUGUGCUAUGACAGUGUGAACUGCUAUGUCUCUAGGCCAUUGGAAUUGUUCAGCUCCAUGAUGAUCUUAUGGGACUGCUGUAUAUGAGGCUGUACUUAGAAGAAAAACGAUUGUCUUUGUUACUUUAGCAGCUACAGGUCAAGUUAAAUACCUACCUAUAUUUAUUUUUAAAAUAUUAUUUUACUUUUAUUAUAUUUGGAGGUAUAAUUUACAUAGCAUGAAAUACACAGAUCUUAUAUUUGUUAAAACCCUUUAUCUGCAGAACCCACACCCCGUCAAAAUUCAAGACAUUUUUCUUAACCCAGAAUGUUCCUUUGUAUGCCUCCCUUUUUCUGUCCCCACUCAACCCCCACAGUUACUGCUAAUAUCUUUCACCAUGAAUUGCUUUGCUUGUUCUCAGACUUCAUAUAAUGGAAUAAUAUAGUACGUGCUUAUUUAAUACGACUUCUUUUGCUCACACUUGUUUUCUGAGAUUCAUCCAUGUAGUUGGCAUGAACUGGUUCUUUGUUAUUACUAAGUGGUAUUCUGUUGUAUGACUAUAGCAUAGUUUGCUUGUCCAUUCUCCCAUUAAUGGACAUUGGGAUGGUUUCCAGUUUGAAGCUAUUAAGAAUAAAUCUUCUGUGAACAUUUUUGUACAAGUUUUUUUGUGGGCAUGUAAAUUUUCAUUUCUCUUAAAUAGGAAUGAAAUUGACUGUAUAAGUAGGAGUCAGCAGUCUAAGGGCAAACUAUAUCUCAUAGGCCACAUCCAGCUCCAUGACCCGUUUUUAUAUGGCCUGCCACAUAAGAAUGGGUUUUAUAGUUUUAAAGGAUUAUUUAAAAAGAAAAUCUGGGAUGGAAACUAUAGGUUAUCGGCAAAGACUAGAUUAUUUACUAACUGUCCCUUGAUAGAAAAAAAUCCCUGUAAUCUGUUCUAGUUUGUUCAGUUGAUCUAUUUUUCUAUCCAUUUAGUUUGUUCCUUAGGAAAUCUUUUAAAGAUUUUUUUGUUUUUUGAGGUAGAGUCUUGCUCUGUCGCACAGGCUAGGGUGCUGCCCAGGCUGGGGUGCAGGGGCAUGAUCUCAGCCCACUGCAACCUCUGCCUCCUGGGUUCAAGCGAUUCUCCUGCCUUAGCCUCCUGAGUAGCUGGGACUGCAGGCACCUGUCACCAUACCCGGGUAAUUUUUUGUAUUUUUAGUAGAGACAGGGUUCCAUCAUGUUAGCCAGGGUAGUCUCGAUCUCCUCACCUUGUGUUGUGCCUGCCUCAGCCUCCCAAAGUGCUGGGAUUACAGGCAUGAGCCACAGUGCCUGGCCCUAAAGAUUUUAUUUUUUUGGAGUAGUUUGGGCUUUACAACUAAAUGAAGGUACAGAGAUUUUUCCAUCUAUCCUCUGUUUCCUAGUUCAUAGUCUCCCCCAUUAUCAGCAUCCUCCCCAACUCCCCUGUCUAGAAUGGUACAGUUUGUCACAAUCAAUAAACCUAUAUUGACAUGUCAUAAUGAACCCAAAGUCUGUAGUUUUCAUUAGGGUUCACUCUUGGUGUUGUACAUUCUCUGGGCUUGGACAAAUGUAUAAUGAUGUGUGCAUCUUUGUAGUGUCAUGCAGAGUAUUUUCACUGCCCUAAAAGUCCUCUGUGUUUCACUUCUUCAUCCCUCUCUCCUCCCCCCAAACCCUGGCAACCACUGAUUGUCUCCGUAUUUUGCCUUUUUGUAAAGUUACAGUCAUACAGUGUGUAGUCUUUUCUGAUUGGCUUCUUUCAUUUGAUGAUAUGUAUUUAAGGUUCCUCUGGAUCUUUUCCCUUUACCUACUGAAGGACUUCAUGGUUGCUCCCAAGUUUUGACAGUUAGGAAUAAACUUAACCAUAAACAUUUAUGUGCAGGUUUCUGUCUAGAUAAAAGUUUUCACCUCUUUUGAGUAAUUACCAGUGAGCACAAUUGCUGGAUUAUGUGGUAAAAAAGUCUGCUUAGUUUUGUGAGAAACUGCGGAAAUAUCUUCCACAGUGUCUGUAACUUUUUGCAUUCCUACCAGUGAUGAUUGAGAGCUCCUGUUGGGUACAUCCUGCCAGCAUUUGGUGUUGACAGUGUUCUGGAUUUGGCUAUUCUAAUAAGCGAAUAUUGGUAUCUCAUUGUUUUAAUUUGCAUUUCUCUGAUAUGAUGUGGAUCAUCUUUUCAUAUGCUUAUUUGCCAUCUAUGUAUCUUUGAUGACGUAUGUGUUAGGGUUUUUGGUUCAUUUUUAUACCAGGUCAUUGUUAAUUGUUGAGUUGUGAGAGUUCUUUGUAUAUUUUUGCAAAUAGAUCUUUAUCAGAUGUGUCUCUUGCACAUAUUUUCUCCCAGUCUGUGGCUUGUGUUUUCAUCUUCUUGACAUGAACUUUGAAGGGACAGUUUUUAAUUUUAAUGAAGUCCAUUUUAUUAUUUCGUGGGUGAAACUUUGAUAGAUGUACUUUAGUUUUACAGUAAGUUUUAAAGUCAUGUUACUUAGUUUCUUGUUUUCAUUUCUGUUUAAUUCCUAGAUUUUAGAUCAUUAUUUGUUGCUGGUAUGGAGAAGUAUAAUAAUUUUUUUCUGUACUAAUGUAUCUGUGGCCCUGCUAAACUCACUGAUUGAUUUUUUAAGAUGUCUUAGAAUUUUCUGGACCAUGUUGUCUGAGAAUAAAAAUAGUUGCAUCUUUCUUUUUCUUUCUUUCUUUUUUUUUUCUUUUUUGAGGAGGAGUCUUGCUCUGUCGCCCAGGCUUUAGUACAGUGGCGUGAUCUUGGCUCACUGCAACCUGUAUCUCCCUGGUUCAGGCGAUUCUCCUGCCUCAGCCUCCCGAGUAGCUGAGAUUACAGGCGUGCACCACCUUGCUUGGCUAAUUUUUGUAUCUUUAGUAGAGACGGGUUUUCACCAUGUUGGUCAGGCUGGUCUUGAACUCCUGACAUCAUGAUCUGCCUUCCUUGGCCUCCCAAAGUGCUGGGAUUACAGGCAUGAGCCACCUCACCCAGCUACUUCUUCCUUUUUCAUCUGUAUGCAUUUUAUUUAUUUUUCUGGCUUUAAGGUUCUGCCUAGGACCUCUAGUACAGUGUUUAAUAAAAGCAAUGACAGUGUGCAUCCCAUUUCUUACUCUUGAUUUGUGGAAAAAAACAUUCAGCCUUUCACUUAGUAUGAUAUUAGUUGUAGGCUUUGGGUAUCAUUCAUUAGGAUGAGUAAUUUUGUUUCUAGUUUGCUGAGUCUUUUGGUCAUAAGUUAUUACUGAAUUUUGUCACAUCUUUUCUUCAUUUAUUGAGAUGAGUCAUAGGGUGGUUUUUUUCUUUUUUCGAAUGUGAAUUACAUCUUUCUGAAUGUUGAACCAACCUUGCAUUCCUGUGACAUAACCCUACUUGAUUGUGGAGUGUUAUCUUUUUUUAUAUAUUACUGGAUCUGAUUUAUUAAAAUAUUGUACAGGAUUUAUGCUUCCACAGUAAGGUGCUACCUAUCGAACUUUGGUCAACAGCAGACUACAUAUCCAACUGUGGUCCUGUAAAAUUAUAAUAUGUUUUUGCUGUGUCUUUUCUACAUUUAGAUACACAAAUACUUGCAGUUGUGUUACAGGUAUCUCCAGUAUUCAGCACAAUAACAAGCUGUACAGGUUUGUAGCCUGGGAGCAGUGGGCUAUACCAUAUAGCCCAGGUGUGUAGUAGGCUGCACCAUCUGGGUUUGUGUAAGUACAUUCUGUGAUGUUCCCACAGUGACCAGAAUUACCUAAUGACACUUUUCUCAGAAGAUAUCCUUGUCUUCGGCCAAAGCAUGAUUAUAUAUUAAUGACUGAUAUGGAUCUAUAAUUUUCUGGUUUUUUACAGUGUUCUUACUGGUUUUGAUAACAGUAAUACACUGGCUUCAUGACGUUACCUGGAAAUGUUUCCUCUCUUCUGAAAGAGUUCAUCUUAUAUUAUUUUUUCCUUAAAUGUUUUAUAAAAUUCACCAGUGAAGCGAUCCAGGUCUGGCGUUUUCCUUGUGGGAAGGUUUUUAAGUUAUGACUUAAUUACUUUAGUAGGUGUUAAGCUAUUCAGAUUUUCUGCUUCUUGUGCUAAUUUUGGUAAUUUGUAUUUUUAAGUAAUAUAUCCAUUUUAUUUAAGUUCUUGAAUUGAUUUGGCAUGAAGGUGUUCACAACAUUUCUCUUUUCUUUUUUCUUUUUUUUAAUUGAGAUGGAGUGUCACUCUGUUGCCCAGGCUGGAGUACAGUGGCACAAUCUCAGCUCACUGCAACCUCCACCUCCUGGGUUCAAACAGUUCUCCCACCUCAGCUUCCCAAGUAGCUGUGAUUACAAGUACAUUUUUUUAUAUUUUUAGUAUAAGUGGGGUUUCGCCCUUUUGGCCAGGCUGGUGUUGAACUCCUGACCUCAAGUGAGGCGUCUUCCUCCGCCUCCCAAAGUGCUGGGAUUAUAGGUGUGAGCCUCCACACCCGGCCUCUCUACUGUUUUCUUAAUGUGCAUAGAAUUUUUAGUAAUGUCUGGUGUGCUCUCUUGUUUUUCCCUGUUGUUCUAGGUUGGGGUUUAUCAAUUUACUGAUAUUUUCAAACAGCCAGCUUUUGAUUUUGUCAGCCUUUUCUUGUUUGUUUUCUGUGUCAUCAUUUCUGUCUUUAUUUGCUUCUGCUUAUUUUGGGUUUUCUUUGGGGUAGAAGUUUAUAUCAUUGAUUUUAGCCUUAUCCAAUAUUAACAUUUGGGCAAUAAGUUUCUCCUUAAACCCUAUGCUCCUUUUUCAUUUCCUCAUUUCUUUGAAUCCUUUUAAUCUGUAAACAUCAAAACGUGCCCCAAAUACUGUUCUUAAUUGCAUCUCAUAAAUUAUAAUAAAUUUUUAAAGUUAAUCUGAAAUAUUUUUAUUUUUUACAUUUGAUUUAUUCUUUGACCCAUGGAUUAUGCUGAAAUGUGUUUAGCUUUUAAAUAUUUAGGAAUUUUGCAGAUUCUUUCUACUGGUUUCUAACUCCGAUGUGUUCAGAGAACAUACUCGGUAUGAUUGUUAUGGAAAUUGCAGACUUGUCUUAUGGCCCAGGGAUGGUUUUUCUUUUUUUUUUAAUUGUUAUUUAUUUAUUUUUUUGAAACAGAAUUUCACUCUUGUUACCCUGACUGGAGUGCAGUGGCACCAUCUCAGCUCACUGCAGCAUCCCAGCACUUUGGGAGGCCACACUUGAGUUUGAGACCACCCUGGCCAACGUGGUGAAACCUGUCUCUACUAAAGAUAUAAGAUAAAUUAGUAGCCAGGCAUGGUGGUGCUUGUCUGUGGUAGCAGCUGCUUUUGGGGGGGCCUGAGACACAAAAAUUGCUUAAAUCCACAGACAGAGGUUGCAGUGAGCUGAGAUUCCACCACUGCACUCCAGCCUGGGCAUGAAGCAAGACUCUGUCUCAAAAAAAAAGAAAAAAAACCAAAAAACGAAUGUGUAUCCUAUGGUUAUGGGAUGUGCUGUUUCAUAAUUGUCAACUAGAAUAAGUUGGUUGAUUAUAUUCAAAUCCUUACUGAUUAUUUUUUGUUCUGUUGGUUACUAGGGGAGGAUUAUUAAAAUCUACUAUUAUAAUUAUAGGUUUGUCUGGUUUUUCUUUUAGUCAGAACAAAAUGUAACUACUUAUUUCUUGUGCUUUAAAUCUCUUUUUAUUAGGUGAAUAUGUAUUUUAGAUUGUUAGGCCUAUGGUAAAUUUAGCAUUUUAUCAUUACAAAAUUUUUGUUGUUGUUGUUAAUAUUGUCUGUCUUUGUAUCUUCUUUUUCUCAUAUUUAAUGUAGACUCUGACUUUCUUAUGAUUAGCAUUCACAGAGUUUGGGUUUUUUCCCCACUCUUUUUGUUUUGAUAACAAGAUUUCACUCUCACCCAGGCUAGAGUGCAGUGAGUGGUACAAUCUGGGGCUUACUGUAACCUCUGCCCCCCACCCAGGAUCAAGUGAUCUUCCCACCUCAACCUCCCAAGUAGCUAGGACCACAGGCAUGCAUCACCACGCCUGGCUAUUUUUUUGUAUUUUUAGGAGAGACAGGGUCUCAACAUGUUGCCCAGGCUGGUCUCGAACUCCUGAGCUCAAGCAGUCUGCCUACCUCGGCCUCCCAAAGUGCUGGAAUUACAGGCAUGAGCCACCACACCCAGCCCACUCUUGGUCUUUACAUUUAAAAUAUGUCUCUUGUAAGCAGCAUAGCAGUAGAUCUUGUUUUAAUUUGUUCUAAUAACCUUAGUCUUUUAAUUGUAGUGUUCAGUUUAUUUAUAUUUAUUGUUGAUAAUUGUUGGGUUUAGGUCUCUGAUCUUGUUUUCUGUUUGUCCCUUCUGUGUUUUGUUCCUUUUUUUCUCCUUUCCUGCUCUUCUUUUAGAGGCAAAUUCCAACAUCUCUGUCAUCUAUGUAUCUGUUUCAUUUGCAGUCUUUUGUUUGUUUAAAUGUAGAAUUCCUGGUUAUGGGUCAUAUCUUCCUGCUCCGUGGCAUGUCCAGUACUUUUAGGCUGUGUAGUGGACAUUGUGGGUGAUAAUGUUGUUGAAUAUGGGUUUGAUUGUCUUUUGUUAGUGUGUUUUGUUCUGACAGGCACUUAAUUACUCAGAUCAGUUUGAUUCUCUCAAGGCUUGUUUUUAAACUUUCUUAGGGCACGUCUCAAGAAGCCCUGUUCCUUAGACGUGGUAUUUUUUGGGGGUCUCAGUUUAAUUCCUGGGGGUGUUCAGCAAGAUCUUGAAACUCUGGCUGAUCAGAACAUCUGUGUCUCUAGCUCUGUGCCACCUCCAGAAUCUGUUCCUUUCACAAUUCCUUAGUAGUCCUGCAUGCUUAGGUACAGCUCCAGUAAGCCCUAGGAGUUGUUGGUGAUGUGGUGGUUGUGUGUGGUCACACUGGGAGAUACUCUCCAUUUUAAUGGUGAGCAUAACAUUAUGGCAUAAAAUGGUUGUCCCAUAGUGACUGUGUAUUUCACACUUUAAACAGUAUCUCAUCUUCUGAAUCGUCUGAGGAUUAAGUUUUCAGUGUGGAAACCUGGUAAGUGCCACAUCCAACAUUCUUAAUGUAAAUGGGUCCAAAUCAUAACUUCAAGACCAACUUUUCCAAAAUAUUUUUGCUAUAGUUUAAAAAGAGUUACAUUCAUACAAAUUACUGUAGACAGUAAUUUGCUGUCCAUCUGUCACCAAGUUAAAAUAUCUAAGGGUUUUUAUGUUGAUUACCAUGUAGUUUUUUUGGCAUUUUUCAAAAUUAUAUAUAUGUCUAUAGCAUAAAAUUUCAGUGUGAUCCUGGUAUGAGCAAGGAUAACAAUUACUAUAUUUAUUCUUCCUGAAUUACGGUAAGAGGAAGAAUAGAAAAGGACAUGCUUAUUGUACUGGGCACUGUGCUGGGUGCUUUGCAAACAUGAACUUGCUUCAUCUCAUUUUUAAUAAUCCUGUGAGGUGGCUGCCAUAUGUCUUUUAUAACAAGGAGUAAAAUAUUCUGAACCAUUUUUCCUGCCUAUCCAGGAAAUUAUUCAAGAUGACACAUGUUGGAAAGUGGCAGACUUUUACUUAAAAUCUACCUGUGAUUGACUCCAAACCUGUAUUUUUUUCUGCUGCAUCUUUUUGUCUGUAAUAUAGCUGGAUUCAAAAUAUGGUGGGGAAAGACGUGAGACCCUGUUUUCCAUGUGUGGGUCAAGUUACUUCCCCAUACAGAAAAUUUGUAGAACAGAUAACUGGGAGAGUGAGUCUAAUUUCCCGAGAGUAUUUUUGUCAAAUGAAAGAAUUUAUUGCUUAUAUCUUUCUAGAAACACACCCUUGUAUGCUAUAAGCUUUGCCUGUGGUCUGAUUGGACUGUGGCUCUUCAUCUGAAGUAUUAAUUCAGCCAAGCAGUUUUUGUAAGACCCAUAAAGAAGUCAGCUUUUCUGGCUAUAAAAAUUAUAAUAUUUAUUUUUCUUUUCUUAAUUAUUUUUCUUUUCUUUUUUUUUUUGUGAAACAGUCUCGCUCUGUCGCUCAGGCUGCAGUGCAGUGGCGUGAUCUCAACUCAGUGCCAUCUCUGCCUCCUGGGUUCAAGUAAUUCUCCUGCUUCAGCCUCCCAAGUAGCUGAGACUGCAGGUGUGAACCACCACACCCAGCUAAUUUUUAGUAGAAACGGGGUUUCCCCGUGUUGGCCAGGAUGCUCUCAAUCUCCUGACCUCAUGAUCCUCCCACCUUGGCCUCUCAAAGUGCUGGGAUUACAGGCAUCAGCCACCGCGCUCAGCAUAAAUACUUUUCUUAAACAUGAUUUUUAAAAGUGAUCUUGGCCAGCUGCAGUGACUCACACCUGCAAUCCCAGCACUUAAGGAGGCUAAGGCAGGAGGAUUGCUUGAGCCAAGGAGUUUGAGACCAGUGUGGGCGACACAGUGAGACUACAUCUCUACAGAGCAUUUAAAAAUCAGCUGAGUGUGGUGGCACAUGCCUUGUAGUCCCAGCUACUCGGGGAGCUGAGGUAGGAAGAUUGCUUGAGUUCAGGAGGCCAAGACUGCAGUGAGCUGUGAUUGCAUGCAUCACUGUAUUCCAGUUUGGGUGACAGAGUGAGGCCCUGUUUCAAAAAAAAAAUAAAAAUUAAGAUCCCUUUCUUUUAAAAAAAAAAUAUUUGUCUUACAUUAUGUAGCAAAGAAAGGUUUGAUGUGUAAUGUUCUGAGUUUUUAAAAUUUUCAAAACAAGAACAAAGGAUAGUGUAACCGACACCUUUGUAGAAUUCAUGCCUGUUGAUAUUUAUCAUUUCUUUCAUAGUUUUUUUUUCUUUUUAUUUUUUAAGUAGACUUAAAUUAACCUCAGCCUCCACCUUCCAGGUUCGAGUGAUUCUCCUGCCUCAGCCUCCUGAGUAGCUGGGAUUACAGGCAUGCACCACCGUGCCUGGCUAAUUUUAUAUUUUUAGUAGAGUCGGGGUUUCUCCACGUUGGUCAGGCUGGUCUCAGACUCCCUACGUCAUGUGAUCUGCCUGCCUCAGCCUCCCAAAAUGCUGGGAUUACAGGUGUGAGCCACCGUGCCUGGCCUAAGCCUCAACUUUCUGAGGAGGUGAAGCUACAAGUGGGUGCAAGUAAGUGGACUGUUGAGAACAGUUUUAGAUUUACAGGAAAAUUGAAAGAUAGUACAGUAGAUUCUGUACCUCCUCCCCACCGCCCACACACUCCUAGUGUUAGCCUGUCACAUUUCUUUUGUUGUAUUUGUCACAAGUAAUGAACCAAUAUUGAUAUCUGUGAUUAACUGAAGUCCAUACUUCAAUCAGAUUUUCUUAAUUUUCCCCUAAUGUCCUCUUUGAGGGUCUCAUUCACUACACCACAUUACUUUUAAUCAUCACGUCUCUUUAGGCGCCUGUGGGCUAUGAUGUUUUCUCGGACUUUCCUUAGUUUUCAGUGACCUUGACAGUUUUCAGGAGAGCCCGUCAGAUGUAUUGCAGGAUGCCCCUCUGUACACAUUUGUCUGCUGUUUUUCUCAUGGUGAGACUGGGUUUAUGCGCUUCUGAAAGGAAGAUCAUAGCAGCCAACGGCCAUUUUUACCACAUCACAUUGAGGGCGCAUUCUGUCAGUGUGACUUACCACUAUGGUUGAUGCUGCCCAUAGCCACCUGGCUGAAGUCGUGCCUCUCGAGUUUCUCCACUGUAACGUUUGCUUCACUCCUCCAUGCCAUCCUUUGUUUAAGGGUAGGAGGUUUACACUCUACCUUAAUGCAGAGUAUCUACAUGAUUUAUUUGGUCUUUUUCGGUGUAUAAGAUCUGUCUCUUCAUAGUUUUUUACUAAAUGAAAUCAAUUUGUAAAAAUCAAGGAAUCUUUCACAUGAUACAUAUUCAUCUUAUCUUUUUUGUUGGUUUUUUUUUUAAAUUAGAUUGGGUCUGGUUCUGUCACCCAGGCUGGAGUGAAAUGGUGUUAUCUCAGCUCACUGCAGCUGCCUGCAGGGCACAAGCAGUCCUCCCGUCUCAGCCUCCCAAGUAGCUGGGACUACAGGAGUACCGCACUGUACCCAGCUGUUUUCUGGAGAGAUGGGGUUUUGCCAUGUUGGCCUAGGCUGGUCUCAAACUCCUGAGCUCAAGCAGUCCACCACGCUUGGCCUUAUCUUGCUUUUUUAAGAACAGUAUUAAAAUUCAUGCACAUAGAUUUGAUUCAUUUAUUCUAACCUGUUCAUAUGACUGAAUUCUUGUUAUAUUUUUUUUCUUUUACAGGGUUCUCUAUUGUUUAUGCUUUUGAGGAUACACAGUGACAUUUUAAUGAAAACUUUGUCUCUUAUAAGAGGUUUAAAUGGUGUGGCUGGAUCUCAGAAACAAGAAAUUUGUCUUAGUAAUUUAAAAAGUAAAGGCAAAGUUACUCACAGAUUAGGUUUCCCUCUGGCAUCUUUAAUCAUCUUUGAUUUACUUUAUAAAAAAUGCAUCCUUUGUUGUCGGAAGAGGACUGAGCCCGUUCCUCAGUGCUCUACUAAGGCAAGUGUCCAGAGCCCUUGAGACACUCAGGGCUAGGAAUUGAAUGCCAGUGACAUUUCCUUGUCAGGAAGUGUAAAUGCUUAUCAACUGAUUUAAAUUCUAAGGCCUUACUUCCAUAGAUACACAUCUGUGCAAUUACUACAUAUUUUUGGAUAAGAAUGUGGCAGUGUGGUUUGUGGCUUUCAAAAAAAUGGCACGUGGUCUAAAGUAAUGUGAUUGCAGGGAUUGCUUUUUUAUUUACGAAGUAAAAUCUUAAUGCUCUUAGCAGUGAGUCGUAUUAUUCAUUUCAUGUUUUUCUGCCAAGUAAUUAAGAAUGAGCUGGAAAACAAGCCAGCUGAAAUCCUUCCUAGAACAAAGCAAGAGAUAGAUAAUACUGAGAAAUGCCAACUUUAGACAUUGUCUUGCAAUUAUUGACUUUAUAAAUUAUUGCAGUAAGGAUGCUUGCCUAUUUUCAGUAUUGUAGAAAGUCUGUUCAUUGUCUAGAGUCCUGUCUGAUGUUAGAGAUGUUCUGUGCUCUAUUUUUAGAAAGAGAUCUUAAAGGCACCUCAAGAUUGCACAGUGCUUUGUGGUUUUCAGAGCAUUUUCUCAUGUGCUAUCCCAUUUAAAUCAGAAACAGGAAGUUAGAGCAGUCCUGUGUGAAUGGCAAAUAGGCGUGUAUAUAUCAGCGAUGAAUGAGCAUACUGAUGAGGCACAGGGAGUGAUGGGGCCAUAGAGAAGGGGACAGUCCAAGUAGGGGAUGGAGUGUGUUUUCCCUAAAAACCUGGCACGUAGGGACAUGGAUGAAUCUGGAGAACAUCAUUCUCAGCAAACUGACACAAGAACAGAAAAUGAAAUACCGCAUGUUCUCACUCAUAGGCGGGUGAUGAACAAUGAGAACACAUGGACACAGGGAGGGGAGCACUACACACUGGGGUCUGUUGGGGGGAAUAGGGGAGGGACAGUGGGGGGCGGGGAGCUGGGGAGGGUUAGCAUGGGGAGAAAUGCCAGAUGAGGGUGAAGGGGAGAAAGGCAGCAAAUCACACCGCCACGUGUGUACCUAUGCAACUAUCCUGCACGUUCUGCACAUGUACCCCAAAACCUAAAAUGCAAUUUUAAAAAAUUAAUUAAUUAAAUAAAACACCUGGCACAUUUUACUUAGACAGUUACUGUAGAAUGGGAGGCACUGGCCUUCGUGGCAGUUGUAGUCUCCAAGAGGUCCAUUGUGGUUCAUCCUAGAUGUGCUGAAUGAGGCUCACCAUAUGGGCUCAGUAAGGCAAAGGUGUGUGGGGAUGGGAGUGUCCAGAGGUGGGAGGCUGCCACUUUUGGCUUGAGUCCUUCGGGAUUUGAGUGGAGAGAUCAGAGCAGCGUUUGUUCCUGUCGAUGUUACGAGUGAUGUUCUUCUGAGACAGUGCUUGCCUUUUGUGACUAACCAUCAGUAUGAAUAACCAGCUCUCUUGAGCUUUCCAGUUUCCGUGUUCAUUUUAAUGAACACUUUAGCUCUGUCAGUUAACCUGCAGCUGGAUGGCUUCUCAUCCUGCCAUUUUUUUAUGGACAUUUUGAUUAUUUUAUUAGAGAUGGAUUUUGAAACUGCAAGAUCCAUGGCUCUCCAGGCCCCUCUCAGAGGUGUUUCACUCCAUUUCUGUUCACGAUGAGGUUGCAGAGCUGCAGCUGUUACCAUGUGGCUAUUACCGUGUCCACCUUUGCAGGCCCAGCUCUUGAUCCCCUUCUUGGCCUCCCGGUCAGGACCCCUCUCCCUCUUCAAAUGCCAUUUAACAGUCUAUGUUGGUGACACCUGUUAACAGCACAUGUCUGAUUUCCUUGUGGCUUGUGUGUCUUACCUUUGGCUUGGGUGAAUAUGGCCCUAUGUGCGUCCCUACCGCACAGUACGUUCCUCCUGCAAGACCUGAACACGCUUCGCAUUUCUAGAUGAGUGCUUGUGUUGCCACAGCCUUUUCAACUUCCAGUGUCCUAAAGAUAAGAGCAUCACUACUGAAGAGAGCCGGGGGCAAGUGGUGAUAUGAUAGCUGCCGAGCUGUCCCCUUGCUGGAAAGGUCUGCUGCUCGAAUAGGCACUGUCCGACUAGAAGUGCGCCUUGUCAUGGAAACUUGGGAACUAAAUGCAUUCAGGUCCAUUCCUCAUGCUCCAGUCUCUUGCUUGCUGCUCUCCAAAGCUCAGGCCAGGUAGAUGAGGAUGAAGGGGCAUCCCUCACUGCCUGAACUUUGAAACAAAGAGUUUAAAACAGCAGGGAUCAUUGUACCUUUGUGGUACCAAGAGCCAACCAUGGGAUUUCUGAGGAGGAAAACCAUAAGCUGUUAGAUUCACUCAUGGCUUUUUCUGUCCUGAGGAGGUGUCAGCCUCGUUUGUUUCUGUUUUCUUUCCUCUGUGGCCAUCCCUGCAGAGAGUGCUGGUCCUGUGCUGAGGCUCGUUGAAACUGUUCUCUGGCCACGUAUAUAAGGCAUUAGAGCAAAGCCUGACAGGUUACAGCCACAUUGUAACCAGGGCGAGUUUGAUUUCAUUUACCACUUAGCUGUAAUCUCUACGACUAUCAGUUUGAUUUACCUAGUUUCAUUCAGUGUUUAAUGACGGUUUAAUUUUUUUUUUUUUUUCGAGUUUUGCACUGUUGCCUAGGCUGGAGUGCAAUGGCACAGUCUUGGCUCACUUCAACCACUACCUCCCAGGUUCAAGUGAUACUCCUGCCUCAGCCUCCCCAGUAGCUGGGAUUAUAGGCCCUCAUUCCCACGCCCAGAUAAUUUUUUGUAUUUUUGGUAGAGAUGUGUUUCACUAUGUUGGGUAGGAUGGUCUGGAACUCCUGACCUCAUGAUCCACCUGCCUCAGCCUCACAAAGUGCUGGGGUUUACAGGUGUGAGCUGCUGCGUCCGGCAACAGUUUAAUAUUUUAAAUACAGGUUGUGCAACCUGACAGGGUUGUCUCGUCAUUAUGGGCAGUCAGAAUGUUCGAGUAAAGAACGACUUUAAAAAACUACUUUUCCUCCUACUAAUAAAUUAAUGCUUUGUAUAGAGAUUUUGAGUCAUAUAAAGCAUAUUAAGAAAGAAGGUUGGGCACAGUGGCUCAUGGCUGUAAUCCCAGCACUUUGGGAGGCUGAGGCAGGUGGAUCACAAGGUCAAGAGAUUCAGACCUGGCCAACAUGGUGAAAUCCCAUCUCUACUAAAAACACAAAAAUUAUCCAGGCAUAGUGGUGCAUGCCUGUAGUCCCAGCUGCUCGGGAGUCUGAGGCAGGAGAAUUGCUUGAAUCUGGGAGGCACAGGUUGCUGAGCCGAGAUCAUGCCACUGCACUCCAGUCUGGCGACAGAGCGAGACUCUGUCUCAAAAAAAAAAAAAUAUUAACAA